This is a non-coding RNA of Kwoniella sp. DSM 27419, 102 nucleotides long. Lineage: Eukaryota; Fungi; Basidiomycota; Tremellomycetes; Tremellales; Cryptococcaceae. The record is from the annotation of a GenBank genome assembly.
GCCCGGUUGGCGAAAUCGGUAUCGCUUCCGACUCUUAGCGUUUAAGAUCUUACAAGAUCGAGCUUGAUCGGACGAUUGUGGGUUCGAGCCCCACAUCGGGCU